This 185-nucleotide non-coding RNA is filed under the name Winslowiella iniecta. Lineage: Bacteria; Pseudomonadati; Pseudomonadota; Gammaproteobacteria; Enterobacterales; Erwiniaceae. The record is from RNAcentral.
UCGUAGUAUGCGAUUUCCGGCCUUCUGAUAAGUUAAAAGGGAAUCCAGUGCAAAUCUGGAGCUGACGCGCAGCGGUAAGGAUAGUCGUGGCGAUUGCCCGUGCAGACACUGUCUAUAUAUAGAUGGGAAGUCUUCGCCAGUUAACGACGCCAAGCCCGAAGACCUGCCGGGGUACGUCGCAAUUU